GUCGAACGAUGAUGCCCAGCUUGCUGGGCGGAUUAGUGGCGAACGGGUGAGUAAUACGUGAGUAACCUGCCCUUGACUCUGGGAUAAGCCUGGGAAACUGGGUCUAAUACUGGAUACUACCUCUUACCGCAUGGUGGGUGGUGGAAAGGGUUUUACUGGUUUUGGAUGGGCUCACGGCCUAUCAGCUUGUUGGUGGGGUAAUGGCUCACCAAGGCGACGACGGGUAGCCGGCCUGAGAGGGUGACCGGCCACACUGGGACUGAGACACGGCCCAGACUCCUACGGGAGGCAGCAGUGGGGAAUAUUGCACAAUGGGCGGAAGCCUGAUGCAGCGACGCCGCGUGAGGGAUGACGGCCUUCGGGUUGUAAACCUCUUUCAGUAGGGAAGAAGCGAGAGUGACGGUACCUGCAGAAGAAGCGCCGGCUAACUACGUGCCAGCAGCCGCGGUAAUACGUAGGGCGCAAGCGUUGUCCGGAAUUAUUGGGCGUAAAGAGCUCGUAGGCGGUUUGUCGCGUCUGCUGUGAAAGCCCGGGGCUCAACCCCGGGUCUGCAGUGGGUACGGGCAGACUAGAGUGCAGUAGGGGAGACUGGUAUUCCUGGUGUAGCGGUGAAAUGCGCAGAUAUCAGGAGGAAC
RNAcentral lists this ribosomal RNA (635 nucleotides) under Kocuria rosea. Its description in RNAcentral is "bacterial SSU rRNA". It matches the Rfam family "Bacterial small subunit ribosomal RNA", at positions 61 to 707 of the family's 1533-position model. The record is from RNAcentral. Lineage: Bacteria; Bacillati; Actinomycetota; Actinomycetes; Micrococcales; Micrococcaceae.